Non-coding RNA from Zootoca vivipara (common lizard), 74 nucleotides. The record is from the annotation of a RefSeq genome assembly. Lineage: Eukaryota; Metazoa; Chordata; Lepidosauria; Squamata; Lacertidae.
ACCUGGGAUAGCUCAGUUGGUAAAGCAUGAGACUCUCAAUCUCAGGGUCGUUGUUUCGAGCCCCACUUUGGGCA